GACGAACGCUGGCGGCGUGCUUAACACAUGCAAGUCGAACGGAAAGGCCCUGCUUUUGUGGGGUGCUCGAGUGGCGAACGGGUGAGUAGCACGUGAGUAACCUGCCCUUGACUUUGGGAUAACUUCAGGAAACUGGGGCUAAUACCGGAUAGGAGCUCCUGCUGCAUGGUGGGGGUUGGAAAGUUUCGGCGGUUGGGGAUGGACUCGCGGCUUAUCAGCUUGUUGGUGGGGUAGUGGCUUACCAAGGCUUUGACGGGUAGCCGGCCUGAGAGGGUGACCGGCCACAUUGGGACUGAGAUACGGCCCAGACUCCUACGGGAGGCAGCAGGGGGGAAUAUUGCACAAUGGGCGGAAGCCUGAGGCAGCAACGCCGCGUGCGGGAUGACGGCCUUCGGGUUGUAAACCGCUUUCGCCUGUGACGAAGCGUGAGUGACGGUAAUGGGUAAAGAAGCACCGGCUAACUACGUG
This 468-nucleotide ribosomal RNA is filed under the name uncultured bacterium. RNAcentral's name for it is "partial 16S ribosomal RNA". It matches the Rfam family "Bacterial small subunit ribosomal RNA", at positions 28 to 507 of the family's 1533-position model. The record is from RNAcentral.